GUUUUCGCUAAGGGGGAUAUUUGUGCGCGCAGUCCCUCCGAUUUGCGGCGUGUUUCAAUUUAGUCCUAUUUCGCUAUUUCCUUUUAUUUUUUAGUUUAGCUCAAGAAUUUUACUUUUGUUCCAAUUUGGCCCACUGUUGUGCUGCGUUUUCGGGCUUCGGCUUAUUUACUGUUUUGGUCCCUCUAUGUUUGGCGCGUGUUGCAAUUUAAUCCUUUUAGUUU
RNAcentral lists this long non-coding RNA (221 nucleotides) under Gossypium barbadense (sea-island cotton). RNAcentral describes it as "long non-coding RNA (GBAR_LNC017013)". Lineage: Eukaryota; Viridiplantae; Streptophyta; Magnoliopsida; Malvales; Malvaceae. The record is from RNAcentral.